GUGAGGUCUGUGAAUAACAGACGCCCAAAGGAACUAAUGUUUUAAGCCAAAGCAAUUUGGGUAACAGGACAGGCUUGGGGGAAAAAAACCACAGUGCCAGAUUUUGGAUUAUGCUGCACAUCAGUGCUAAAAAAGAAGCCACACAUGUUGUGAAUAUAUAGCCCAGGAACACAUUUUAUGAGCAUAUUCCUAAUGUGGCGUGUGCGUCGCUUUCUCUUAUUAUUGAUAAUAACUAACUAUAGCUUCUGCUUUAGCUCUCCCUCCUGUUCUCCCCCAUUCGACUGCAGGAUUUAACAGACCAGUGAUGAUACACAAACGUGUGAUCCAGAUUCCAUCAAACAGCAUUAAAAUGUCCCAGUGAGCACAGCGGCUGUUCAGAGGGCCAGGCCCUGUGGGUUCACUUGGGUCUGGCAUUGGGGAGCAUCCUUCUGGCAUCCGUAUGGGAGGGCUGGAGAGGAGUCUUCUGUUGAGGCAGCCUGGGCAUCAGCUUCUCUUGGUCAAUAAGGCUGCGUGUCAGGAGUGGCAGUGUUCAGUCUUUCUAGAAGUGCUUCUCUUCAGCAUACCAGGUGCCCUUGCAGAGAUGAGAGCCUGGCUUUUCCUUCUGCAAACCCAAAUCAACCCUCUCUGUUCACCUUUGUCCCCACGGUAAGCCCAGAGGAAUUGCUGGGAACCUGGUGGUGAAUUUGUAUAAUUGAAGUUUUGGAGGAGGGUUGUGGGGCUGGAGGUGUGAGCUAUGAGGUGUCAGGUGAGGGCUGAACUAUUGCUCCGCAGGGAUGACCCCAAGAGCUGGUGCCUCUAGGCACGGGAUAUGCCCAUGGCAGGCUGCUCAGCCGGCUCCAUCCACACCUACACUUCAUGUCACAUCCCUCGGGGACCUGGGGCGUGCUGCCUGACGGGCAGCUGUUGCAUCACAGCUGGGCUGGGCCCACUGCCACAGAAGGCUGUGCCUCCGGACCCUGUGAAGCACCCAUCCCCAGGCUGGUCUUGCAGCAGACUGCUCCUGAGGGUUACUCCUGUUAUUGCUGUUGGUUGCACGCCCAAGGUUUUGAUGCAGGCUGUUCAUGUAGCUCUUGUGCUGGGUUUCUUCUGGCAGCUUUCAGCACCAACAUCUCUUUUCCCACCACACUCGUAUCUGCUACGGACUGCACACCAGCAGCAUCCCACGGAAGAAUCCAUCCUGUGCCACGAAUCGGAUGUAACUUGGGCCACGUGUCUCCACUGAUCGUGGCCCAGCAGGGUUGGCCACCACCCCUUACCAGCAUCCCACGGAAGAACCCAUCCUGUACCAUGAAUCAGAUGCCAGUUGGGCCACGUGUCUGCACUGGCCGUGGCCCAGCAGGGCUGGCUCUCACCCAGGCGGCGCAGCCAGCUCAUCCCGCACCGUGCAGUGCCGGGCCGGGGGACGGAAGCACAGCUCAGCCCCGUGUCACGCCGAGCACCACUGUGCACCGGGCUUGGCGUGACAGCUCGGCUGCCUGCGGUCGUCUAUGGCAACUGAGCCACCUUGGAAGGCUGCGCUGCCUGUGUGGGUUUGAAAUUGUGUGGUUGUUUUUGUUCCCUCGUGGAAAAAAAAAAAAAAAAAAAGACAAUCUGAUUUGUAUGUAACUGAAUAAAUUCCUUGUUAACCUUUAGAGCCA
Long non-coding RNA from Numida meleagris (helmeted guineafowl), 1637 nucleotides. The record is from Ensembl. Lineage: Eukaryota; Metazoa; Chordata; Aves; Galliformes; Numididae.